RNAcentral lists this ribosomal RNA (460 nucleotides) under uncultured bacterium. Its description in RNAcentral is "partial 16S ribosomal RNA". It matches the Rfam family "Bacterial small subunit ribosomal RNA", at positions 338 to 795 of the family's 1533-position model. The record is from RNAcentral.
CCUACGGGAGGCAGCAGUGAGGAAUAUUGGUCAAUGGACGAGAGUCUGAACCAGCCAAGUAGCGUGAAGGAUGACUGCCCUAUGGGUUGUAAACUUCUUUUAUAUGGGAAUAAAAUGUUCCACGUGUGGGAUUUUGUAUGUACCAUAUGAAUAAGGAUCGGCUAACUCCGUGCCAGCAGCCGCGGUAAUACGGAGGAUCCGAGCGUUAUCCGGAUUUAUUGGGUUUAAAGGGAGCGUAGGUGGAUUGUUAAGUCAGUUGUGAAAGUUUGCGGCUUAACCGUAAAAUUGCAGUUGAAACUGGCAGUCUUGAGAACAGUAGAGGUAGGCGGAAUUCGUGGUGUAGCGGUGAAAUGCUUCGAUAUCACGAAGAACACCGAUUGCGAAGGCAGUUCACUGGACUGCAACUGACACUGAGGCUCGAAAGUGUGGGUAUCAAACAGGAUUAGAUACCCCUGUAGUC